GAAAAUUUGCUCUUUUAGUAUUUGUCAAGUAGGCAUCUUCAAUUGAAGAAGCCCCC
Hucho hucho (huchen) is the source of this 56-nucleotide small nuclear RNA. Its record names the gene U7. It matches the Rfam family "U7 small nuclear RNA". Rfam says of the family: Animal histone pre-mRNAs are spliced by a different mechanism than nuclear pre-mRNAs and self-splicing introns. This processing involves the U7 snRNP, which contains only one RNA species: U7. NCBI's taxonomy places the organism in Eukaryota, Metazoa, Chordata, Actinopteri, Salmoniformes, Salmonidae. The record is from Ensembl.